UGGAUGCCCUUCCUGUCACCAAUGUGGAGUUAUAUUCAGCAGAUAUAUUCUCAUUGUGCCCAGAGAGAGAAAUAUCUGGGAUUGAACCUACAUAGGAUCGAACUCACAAUCUCCUGAUUGGGAGGUGAGAGCUCCACCUCUAGGCCACCGCACCAUUCCUACAUGAUCUGUAAUGCUACAGAUACUUCAAUUUUGUCAACCGGUGGAACUUCCUAGAACACACCAAAAGAGGUUGUCAAACUUGUGACCUGCGGACCGGUUGCGUCAGGUGCUGGCCCAGCCCCACCCGGUUCAAUAAAGGGGAAAUCCUGAAACAUCACGUGACGAUGCUGUGACGACGUGGGUUUGACAUCCCUUUUCUAGACCAACCUCAUUUUUAGAUUAAAAAAAUUUCUUGUGAAUUGGUAAAUAAACAUAUUCAGAUGUUUAAAUGUUUUAAAA
Pantherophis guttatus is the source of this 441-nucleotide non-coding RNA. The record is from RefSeq and is a predicted model, not a curated record. NCBI's taxonomy places the organism in Eukaryota, Metazoa, Chordata, Lepidosauria, Squamata, Colubridae.